CCUACGGGUGGCAGCAGUGGGGAAUAUUGGGCAAUGGACGCAAGCCUGACCCAGCGACGCCGCGUGAAGGAAGAAGGCCCUCGGGUUGUAAACUUCUUUUAUUCGGGACGAAACAAAUGACGGUACCGAAUGAAUAAGCCACGGCUAACUACGUGCCAGCAGCCGCGGUAAUACGUAGGUGGCAAGCGUUAUCCGGAUUUACUGGGUGUAAAGGGCAUGUAGGCGGGAGAGCAAGUCAGACGUGAAAUUCCAGGGCUCAACCCUGGAACUGCGUUUGAAACUGUUGGUCUUGAGUAUCGGAGAGGCAGGCGGAAUUCCUAGUGUAGCGGUGAAAUGCGUAGAUAUUAGGAGGAACACCAGUGGCGAAGGCGGCCUGCUGGACGACAACUGACGGUGAGGCGCGAAAGCGUGGGGAGCAAACAGGAUUAGAUACCCUAGUAGUC
This 443-nucleotide ribosomal RNA is filed under the name uncultured bacterium. RNAcentral's name for it is "partial 16S ribosomal RNA". It matches the Rfam family "Bacterial small subunit ribosomal RNA", at positions 338 to 795 of the family's 1533-position model. The record is from RNAcentral.